GAGAGCAAUGGACGGGAAGGAAACUCAGUUCCUUGGGAUCUUGUGCAUCAGGGUACACAGAGAAAACUGGCUGGAGAAGAGAAAGUCUGGCCCCUCUUCCUGUCAACAAUGACAUUCUGUUGGGAGCUGACCCUUCCAGGAUGAAUCUCAUUAGAACUUGGGAACAGGACUGCAGAGCCAUCAUCCGCAAUUUCUGAGAAACUUGGGCAAGAAGCCCAAUAUCCAGGAUGUGUGAAAUGUUUGUCAGCUUUCAAAAAGCAAGAAUGUGCAAAUGGAGUAAGUCUAAUGACCUCAGACUUCCAAACUUGAAAUUAAUUAAUGCUAUGAAUCUGGAUUAGAUUUUCAACAGUGCCUAGAAAGUGGAAUUUAAAAAAUUUUCUGCCUCACUACACUUCCAUUUGAAACUUGCCAGCAAGCAAGAUGAAGACAGCCUGUCUUCUUGGAGAACAAUUGAGUAACCUGUCUUCUUCAGCCCCAGGAACAUGGGUAACUGCACCACUACCCCAAGGGUGAAACUUGGCAUUUCCUCCUAAUGUGUAGCUUGAUGGAAGCUGCUCUUUGUAUUUCUUGGUGUGAAGGGCUGAUUGCUGGAAGCAACUGAGCACAAUUGCACAGAGGUAAGGAGCCUUCUGGUGGAGAAGAAUCAGAACGAAUUUUCAUGUAGCAUGAGUAUCAUCACA
Molecule: long non-coding RNA, 680 nt
Organism: Phodopus roborovskii (desert hamster)
Lineage: Eukaryota; Metazoa; Chordata; Mammalia; Rodentia; Cricetidae
Exons: 3
Source: RefSeq, a predicted model, not a curated record